GUUUGAGAACCAAGUUGAAGAUCAAGAAGAAGAUGAUUAUGAUGAGGAAGUUGGUGGUCUGAUCAAUUCAGACGGAGAAGAAAUCGGUUGGGAUCGCCAUCGUAUCAGACAGAGUGUCAGCCAUCCCUCUACAUCAGGAGAACCUGAACAACACCAGGACAACCACAACAACACAAAGUCCAAGUCUCACCACUGCUUCAAAUGUGGGAAAGACUUUGCCAACAUCUCUAACCUACGGCGACACCAGAAGAGACACACAGGAGAGAGUUCCGACCACCGAUCUGACAGCGAAGCCAGG
Molecule: long non-coding RNA, 298 nt
Organism: Coregonus clupeaformis (lake whitefish)
Lineage: Eukaryota; Metazoa; Chordata; Actinopteri; Salmoniformes; Salmonidae
Exons: 3
Source: RefSeq, a predicted model, not a curated record